This 820-nucleotide long non-coding RNA is filed under the name Fukomys damarensis (Damara mole-rat). Its description in RNAcentral is "lncRNA (ENSFDAG00000031285.1)". The record is from RNAcentral. Lineage: Eukaryota; Metazoa; Chordata; Mammalia; Rodentia; Bathyergidae.
GCUCUGGUCUCUGGUCCUGGGCCGCCUCAUUGCCUACCGGGAGCUGUAGUUCGCGGUCCCAGACUACGGGGCGGAGAGGGAGCUCCCAGGGACGCCUGCGCAUGACGCAUACGGCGCCCGGCAAAGUGGCGGGGCGGGUGGCUCCCAGGAAACCCCGCGCGUGUGACAUUCGCGGCGCAGACUCGGGAAUACAGUGGCGAUCGGACGGGUGGGCCUGGGCAGCUCGGCCCGGGGCGUUCUAUUAUGUCUGUGUGACCGCCCUCUGGCAAAGAAGGCCACAUACUGGGGAGAGGACGGGGCCCAGAGAGAGCCCCUCACCUGACGGUGAAGUGGACGAGAGCGAACAACUGGAAGCUCUGCAGGCAGCAGCUGACAGGAGCUGGGCAUCAACUGCCCACCUGACGGUGGAGGAGUUAAACCCUUAGCAGCAGAACUGGGUGCCCAGACUGACCUUCCUUCAUCCCAAUGAGCCCCACCACUUCUCUAGAAGACCGAAUUGGAAUGCCUCCUUAUUUCAAGCUAACGGCCUUCAGUAAGCCAGAAGAAACAGCCUUGUCAAAUUGCAGUCUGUAAACAUAUAAUUUUAAACACAAUGAUAUACCUACUCCCCACGAUGAAUGUAACCACUAUGUACAGAAAAAGCAUACUAAUAAACAGAAAUAAAAACUAUGGUUCGGUUUUUUGGUGUUUGUUUGAGACAGAGUCUCACUGUGUAGUUGAAACUGACCUGGAAUUCACUAUGCAGUGCAGGCUGGCCUUGAACUCUCAGUGAUCCUCCAGCCUCAGCCUCCUGAGUGCUGGGAUUACAGGCGUGAGCCAC